Molecule: ribosomal RNA, 253 nt
Filed under: uncultured bacterium
Lineage: Bacteria
Description: partial 16S ribosomal RNA
Rfam family: Bacterial small subunit ribosomal RNA
Source: RNAcentral
GACAGAGGUGCCGAGCGUUAGGCGGAAUCACUGGGCUUAAAGCGUACGUAGGCGGAUAUGCAGGCGUCGUGUGAAAUCCCUUGGCUCAACCAAGGAACUGCACGGCGAACCGCAUGUCUUGAGAUCGGUAGGGGCGGUCGGAACGAUAGGUGGAGUGGUGAAAUGCGUUGAUAUCUAUCGGAACGCCGAAGGUGAAAGCAGGCCGCUGGGCCGAUUCUGACGCUGAGGUACGAAAGCGUGGGGAGCGAACGGG